Long non-coding RNA from Empidonax traillii (willow flycatcher), 2351 nucleotides. RefSeq lists it as uncharacterized. Lineage: Eukaryota; Metazoa; Chordata; Aves; Passeriformes; Tyrannidae. The record is from RefSeq and is a predicted model, not a curated record. The transcript has 2 exons.
GUCCGAAGCGCGCGCCUGCACCGCUGCAAGGCCGGCGGGCGGCUGUCCCCGCUGCCACUCGUGAAUGCCCAUGUUUCGCUGCUCCAGCGAUGCCAUCCACAUGCUCCGUUAUGCUGUGCUGCUGGAAGACCAAGGCUCGUCCAACGACGCUGACAUGUUCGUACAGACCCUCACUCUCUCCUGACUUCACGUCCCAGAAGGUAUGUAUAAGCAGACACUGGAGAAACAUUUUCACCUUGAGUCUAGCAGGACAUACUCAGCCUGCCUUCUGUCCAGCUCAAAGGAUGUGAAGUGGACUGUCAUAAUUCAGUUGCCUCUCGGCCACACAGCCCCAAGUGACCAGUAACAUCAGAUGGAAAGAGAGAAGGGGGGGAACACCUGUGUGAGUAUCUGAGCUUAAUGAACUUCGGUUUUUAGUAAGUUUUAACUUUGAGAUAGAAACAGAAGUAUUUAUGUGGAAAAAUUUAUGAAGUGAGGUUACAUGCAUAAGAAUAAAGUCUCCAAACACCCGUGAGGAGUCUGAGACCAGCAUCAGCCCUGGAUACCUGAGAGAUGGUGAAUACUUGGUAAAGUUGAUGGCUGAAGCUUCAGGUGGCUGCUCAGAGCUGAGGAGUAGGGGCAGAGGACAUCAAGAGGGGAAAAGUCUGACAGUUACUGCCUAUGGGAGAAACUGCAGGUGGAUUUUUAGGGACACCUUACUCAGAAGAAACAUCUUGUAAGGGGAAAUAAAUGGUAAAAACUUGCAAUUUUUUCUCUUCUGAAGGUAACUGCAAUGAAGCAGUUUUCUUCCACAGGGAAAUUCUAACAGAAAGCAAAUUACUUGUGGCAUGAAGGGGCAGCACAUGGGGAUUUAUGAGAACCCAAUUUAACUUUCCUUUUUUUGUGAUUCUCAUCCAGGCCAUCUGGCGCAGACUAGCUUUUGGCACACAGGUCAAAGCUAGGGUUUUCCUAGCAGGCUGGCUUCAUCCUUUCUUCACGCUCACAGAAGCACAUUUUAGUGCAAAAUCCAUCCCACGCUUUAUCUGCAUACCACAGCCCUGCCUGUCAUGCAUUAUGCACAACACUUGGCAAUUGUCUGCUCUAACCACAACAGCUAACCACAGCACGUUUCUCAGAAAUACGCCUAGCACACAUCCGUAACCUUUGUGUGGCCUACACUACACACACUCUCCACCCACUAUUAUUUUCCUUGCUGUGCCUGCCACUGUACCUGCUCUUUGUGCAACAACUGAAGAAAUCAUGACAGCAUCUCGGGCCUCUGCUGAGCCUGACAGGGCCAGGUAAGCCACGAGAUGUCAUACCCCAAUACCUUGCAGGAACUUCAUGACUUGUAUAAAAUAGAUUUUCUUUUUUCCCCUCUAAGGACCACUUUUUUUUUUUUUUUUUUUUGCAAUAACCAAUACUUCAUAACUUAAAGAGGUUUUACAUCUUGGAGACUAACAUUCCCUGUGGCACCAUGUUAUGGUCUGUAUUUGGAACAAGCAAUAGAUAAUCAAAAACUCAGUGCCUGUCUUAGAGUUAGCACCUGCCAUUCUGCACUAACUAGCAUUCUGGGCAUCCAUGCAUAUUUAGGAGGCAUCUAGUACAGAUGAGCUUCAGCAAAUCCAAGGGGGGGGUCUGUUUACAGUCAAGGUCUGCAAAGCCAUUCUCCACAGGCUGUAUCCCCACAUAAUCUUCAGCAACACUGAAAUAUUGAUAGCUCUUUGCCCAGUGUGGACUUCCCACUGCAGGGAACAAAAGACAAGAUUCAUAUUCCCACAGGAUGUGGUUAUGUAGUUCUUACAGCUGCAGUUAAGAGAAAAAUAUCAGUCAUUGUCAAUUCUUUACUCUUCCAGAGUGGGUAGCUGGCACUCUCUCCCCCUCUGCAGAACCUUGGCUUCUACAAAGCUGGAAAACCUGUGUUUAUUUCAGGCACUGCAAUUUUUUAAUCUUGGAUGAAGUAUCCGUACCCAGCCAAGCUGCUCACAUGCUAUGUUGUGAGGGACUAUGCACUCAGCUUGCUGACCACAUGGACUGCUAGGAUUCAGGGAAUUACAGUUUCCCAUGUUCUGUGAGAAUCCCUACAACCAGAUAAAUCCCAUACCAUCUCUUUAUGUGGGUUUUGGUGAACUCUUCAACAUGGAAUAGCCCCAUAAAAUUGUCUUUCAGUCUAUCUUUAUUCAUCUCAGCACUGCUGCUGCCUCUGAGCAAUCCUGAGCCCUGGCAUGGUAGGCAAAUAUGUGUUAGCAAUAGCACAGCUUCAGAAGCACCACCUGGGUCUGUAGGGCAAGAAAGGCCUUUACGUUAAUCAGUGUUUGUUCCAACCAGUGCUCACAGGGCAGAAUGUUUCUCUCCAUACAUGUCCAAAAAAA